ACUCCUACGGGAGGCAGCAGUGGGAAUAUUGCACAAUGGGGCAGCCAAGCCUGAUGCAGCCAUGCCGCGUGUAUGAAGAAGGCCUUCGGGUUGAUAAGUACUUUCAGUCAGUGAGGAAGGUAGUGUAGUUAAUAGCGCAUUAUUGAUCGUUAGCUGCAGAAGAAGCACCGGCUAACUCCGUGCCAGCAGCCGCGGUAAUACGGAGGGUGCGAGCGUUAAUCGGAAUUACUGGGCGUAAAGCGCAUGCAGGUGGUUUGUUAAGUCAGAUGUGAAAGCCCGGGGCUCAACCUCGGAAUAUGCAUUGAACUGGCAGACUAGAGUACUGGUAGAUGGGGUAGAAGUUUCAGGUGUAGCA
This 355-nucleotide ribosomal RNA is filed under the name uncultured bacterium. Its description in RNAcentral is "bacterial SSU rRNA". It matches the Rfam family "Bacterial small subunit ribosomal RNA", at positions 335 to 680 of the family's 1533-position model. The record is from RNAcentral.